GCCCGCCGCUUCCGGCUCCUCCCCGUGGCGCGGGCGGGCGGGCGAGUCCGCCAUGGCCGCGCUGGCGGCCCUUUCAAACGCGGCAGCCGGCGGCAGCAGGGGGCAGGCCUGACUGGCUUUGUGCAACUCCUUGGAAAUCUGUACCAGCUUCUCUGAGCAAAAGUGUCUGGAAGUUCUCCAAGAUUUUAACCUCGAGAGGAUUACAUGUGCUGUUUGAAGACAAGUGGACUUGGACUUAAGGAUGUAGGAGCAAAUACUACUCUGUUCAUGAGGAAUGUGAAAAAUGCCUGGUUUCAAAGACUAAGGAGCUCAUCUCCUGUUGUUGUGCUGAUAUGGAGAGUUAAAUAGGUCGUCAGCAUUGGAUGGCAGGAAAUACAAUUAAGUUUAUAAAGUAUAAAGAGCAAAGGAAAACGGAGAAGUGGAUUGGCUGGAUGAGGUUGCAGGUGUCUCAGAACUGUCAGUGAAAAGUCACCUGGGAAGCUAAUAAGGUGAGUAAUAUUUGUUGUGUUCUGUGGAGAUUUGUGGUUUUCUGUGGUGGAUGUGUAUUCUAAGCAGUCACAUAAUGGGAUUUUG
Molecule: long non-coding RNA, 573 nt
Filed under: Manacus vitellinus (golden-collared manakin)
Lineage: Eukaryota; Metazoa; Chordata; Aves; Passeriformes; Pipridae
Description: lncRNA (ENSMVIG00005005803.1)
Source: RNAcentral